Molecule: ribosomal RNA, 460 nt
Filed under: uncultured bacterium
Lineage: Bacteria
Description: partial 16S ribosomal RNA
Rfam family: Bacterial small subunit ribosomal RNA
Source: RNAcentral
CCUACGGGAGGCUGCAGUGAGGAAUAUUGGUCAAUGGACGAGAGUCUGAACCAGCCAAGUAGCGUGAAGGAUGACUGCCCUAUGGGUUGUAAACUUCUUUUAUAUGGGAAUAAAAUGUUCCACGUGUGGGAUUUUGUCUGUACCAUAUGAAUAAGGAUCGGCUAACUCCGUGCCAGCAGCCGCGGUAAUACGGAGGAUCCGAGCGUUAUCCGGAUUUAUUGGGUUUAAAGGGAGCGUAGGUGGAUUGUUAAGUCAGUUGUGAAAGUUUGCGGCUCAACCGUAAAAUUGCAGUUGAAACUGGCAGUCUUGAGUACAGUAGAGGUGGGCGGAAUUCGUGGUGUAGCGGUGAAAUGCUUAGAUAUCACGAAGAACUCCGAUUGCGAAGGCAGUUCACUGGACUGCAACUGACACUGAGGCUCGAAAGUGUGGGUAUCAAACAGGAUUAGAUACCCUAGUAGUC